This 311-nucleotide ribosomal RNA is filed under the name uncultured eukaryote. RNAcentral describes it as "partial 18S ribosomal RNA". It matches the Rfam family "Eukaryotic small subunit ribosomal RNA", at positions 1470 to 1796 of the family's 1831-position model. The record is from RNAcentral.
CCCCUAGACGUUCUGGGCUGCACGCGCGCUACAAUAAUACGCACAGCGAGUAUCACCGAGCUCGAAAGGGCAAGGUAAACAAUAGAAAAGGUACUGUAAUGGUUAUAGAUCCUUGUAAUUAUUGAUCUUCAACGAGGAAUUCCUAGUAAGUAUGUGUCAUCAUCACGCACUGAUUACGUCCCUGCCCUUUGUACACACCGCACGUCGCUCCUACCGAUUGGGUGAGCCGAUGAAACUCUCGGAUGUAGGCUAUUCAUAGCCCGCAGAAGAGAUUUGAAUCGUAGCGCUUAGAGGAAGGAGAAGUCGUAACA